This 1417-nucleotide ribosomal RNA is filed under the name Vibrio parahaemolyticus. RNAcentral's name for it is "partial 23S ribosomal RNA". It matches the Rfam family "Bacterial large subunit ribosomal RNA", at positions 1 to 1471 of the family's 2925-position model. The record is from RNAcentral. Lineage: Bacteria; Pseudomonadati; Pseudomonadota; Gammaproteobacteria; Vibrionales; Vibrionaceae.
GUUGUAUGGUUAAGUGACUAAGCGUACACGGUGGAUGCCUUGGCAGUCAGAGGCGAUGAAAGACGUAGUAACUUGCGAUAAGCCCAGAUUAGGUAGUAACAACCAUUUGAGUCUGGGAUUUCUGAAUGGGGAAACCCACGUGCAUAAGCACGUAUCCUUACCUGAAUACAUAGGGUAAGGAGGCGAACCGGGGGAACUGAAACAUCUAAGUACCCCGAGGAAAAGAAAUCAACCGAGAUUCCGAAAGUAGCGGCGAGCGAAAUUGGACUAGCCCUUAAGCUUUACACGCGUUAGACGAACGGUCUGGAAAGUCCGACGAUACAGGGUGAUAGUCCCGUAGUUGACGACGUGUGUUCAGUGAAAUCGAGUAGGGCGGGACACGUGAUAUCCUGUCUGAAUAUGGGGGGACCAUCCUCCAAGGCUAAAUACUACUGACUGACCGAUAGUGAACCAGUACCGUGAGGGAAAGGCGAAAAGAACCCCUGUGAGGGGAGUGAAAUAGAACCUGAAACCGUGUACGUACAAGCAGUAGGAGCAGGCUUUGUCCUGUGACUGCGUACCUUUUGUAUAAUGGGUCAGCGACUUAUAUUCAGUGGCAAGGUUAACCAUCUAGGGGAGCCGUAGGGAAACCGAGUCUUAACUGGGCGUUCAGUCUCUGGAUAUAGACCCGAAACCAGGUGAUCUAGCCAUGGGCAGGUUGAAGGUUGAGUAACAUCAACUGGAGGACCGAACCGACUAAUGUUGAAAAAUUAGCGGAUGACUUGUGGCUAGGGGUGAAAGGCCAAUCAAACCUGGAGAUAGCUGGUUCUCCCCGAAAGCUAUUUAGGUAGCGCCUCGGACGAAUACUACUGGGGGUAGAGCACUGUUAAGGCUAGGGGGUCAUCCCGACUUACCAACCCUUUGCAAACUCCGAAUACCAGUAAGUACUAUCCGGGAGACACACGGCGGGUGCUAACGUCCGUCGUGGAGAGGGAAACAACCCAGACCGCCAGCUAAGGUCCCAAAUUACUACUAAGUGGGAAACGAUGUGGGAAGGCUCAGACAGCCAGGAUGUUGGCUUAGAAGCAGCCAUCAUUUAAAGAAAGCGUAAUAGCUCACUGGUCGAGUCGGCCUGCGCGGAAGAUGUAACGGGGCUAAGUAGUAAACCGAAGCUGCGGCAAUGCACUUUGUGCAUUGGGUAGGGGAGCGUUCUGUAAGCGGUUGAAGGUGUGUGGUAACGCAUGCUGGACGUAUCAGAAGUGCGAAUGCUGACAUGAGUAACGAUAAAGGGGGUGAAAAACCUCCUCGCCGGAAGACCAAGGGUUCCUGUCCAACGUUAAUCGGGGCAGGGUAAGUCGACCCCUAAGGCGAGGCCGAAAGGCGUAGUCGAUGGGAAACGGGUUAAUAUUCCCGUACUUCUUACAAUUGCGAUGGGGGG